RNAcentral lists this ribosomal RNA (264 nucleotides) under uncultured bacterium. RNAcentral describes it as "partial 16S ribosomal RNA". It matches the Rfam family "Bacterial small subunit ribosomal RNA", at positions 47 to 339 of the family's 1533-position model. The record is from RNAcentral.
CUUAACACAUGCAAGUCGAACGAACCUUCGGGUUAGUGGCGGACGGGUGAGUAACGCGUGAGAAUCUGCCCUCAGGAGGGGGGAUAACGGUUGGAAACGACCGCUAAUACCCCAUAUGCCGAGAGGUGAAAUGAAUUUUCGCCUGAGGAUGAGCUCGCGUCUGAUUAGCUAGUUGGUGUGGUAAUGGCUCACCAAGGCUUCGAUCAGUAGCUGGUCUGAGAGGAUGAUCAGCCACACUGGGACUGAGACACGGCCCCAGACCCC